Long non-coding RNA from Passer domesticus (house sparrow), 395 nucleotides. RefSeq lists it as uncharacterized. Lineage: Eukaryota; Metazoa; Chordata; Aves; Passeriformes; Passeridae. The transcript is spliced from 3 exons. The record is from RefSeq and is a predicted model, not a curated record.
GAUGAAAUCAGCAGCCCAGCUGAGGUGCAUGGAUAGCAGUGCACACAGCAUGGGUAACAAACAGCAAGAGCUGGAGGCCAUGGUCCAGCAGCAGAGCUGUGAUGUCAUUGCCAUCACAGAAACGUGGUGGGAUGCCUCACAUGGCUGGAGCACUACACUGGAUGGCUACAAGCUCUUCAGGAGAGACAGGAAAGGGAGAAGAGGUGAAGCUGAACCUGCUGGUGAAGGUGGUGCAGCUUCCCAAGCCACAUCCAGGACUGAGGCUCUGGGAGAUGCUGAGGUGGUGGACCAAACAUCUGUGCAGAAGGAGGCACAUCCUGGAGGAAGCAUUUCCCCAUGGACAGCCCCUGCUGCAGGAAGGAAGGCGAUGCCAGACACGGGCACGGGCACAGCAG